Molecule: ribosomal RNA, 441 nt
Filed under: uncultured bacterium
Lineage: Bacteria
Description: partial 16S ribosomal RNA
Rfam family: Bacterial small subunit ribosomal RNA
Source: RNAcentral
CCUACGGGAGGCAGCAGUGGGGAAUAUUGCACAAUGGGGGAAACCCUGAUGCAGCGACGCCGCGUGAGUGAAGAAGUAUUUCGGUAUGUAAAGCUCUAUCAGCAGGGAAGAAGAAAGACGGUACCUGACUAAGAAGCCCCGGCUAACUACGUGCCAGCAGCCGCGGUAAUACGUAGGGGGCAAGCGUUAUCCGGAUUUACUGGGUGGAAAGGGAGCGUAGACGGCGAUGCAAGUCUGAAGUGAAAGGCGGGGGCCCAACCUCCGGACUGCUUUGGAAACUGUAUGGCUGGAGUGCAGGAGAGGUAAGUGGAAUUCCUAGUGUAGCGGUGAAAUGCGUAGAUAUUAGGAGGAACACCAGUGGCGAAGGCGGCUUACUGGACUGUAACUGACGUUGAGGCUCGAAAGCGUGGGGAGCAAACAGGAUUAGAUACCCCUGUAGUC